Molecule: ribosomal RNA, 253 nt
Filed under: uncultured bacterium
Lineage: Bacteria
Description: partial 16S ribosomal RNA
Rfam family: Bacterial small subunit ribosomal RNA
Source: RNAcentral
UACAGAGGUCUCAAGCGUUGUUCGGAUUCAUUGGGCGUAAAGCGUGCGCAGGCGGUUUUGUAAGCCAGAUGUGAAAGCCCCGGGCUUAACCUGGGAAUGGCAUUUGGGACUGCAAGGCUGGAGUACGGCAGAGGGAGGUGGAAUUCCAGGUGUAGCAGUGAAAUGCGUAGAUAUCUGGAGGAACACCGAUGGCGAAGGCAGCCUCCUGGGCUAGUACUGACGCUCAUGCACGAAAGCGUGGGGAGCAAACAGG